AUGAACGCUGGCGGCGUGCCUAAUACAUGCAAGUCGAGCGGACAGAUCAGGAGCUUGCUCCUUUGACGUUAGCGGCGGACGGGUGAGCAACACGUGGGUAUCCUACCUAUAAGACUGGAAUAACUCCGGGAAACCGGGGCUAAUGCCGGAUAACAUUUAGAACCGCAUGGUUCUAAAGUGAAAGAUGGUUUUGCUAUCACUUAUAGAUGGACCCGCGCCGUAUUAGCUAGUUGGUAAGGUAACGGCUUACCAAGGCAACGAUACGUAGCCGACCUGAGAGGGUGAUCGGCCACACUGGAACUGAGACACGGUCCAGACUCCUACGGGAGGCAGCAGUAGGGAAUCUUCCGCAAUGGGCGAAAGCCUGACGGAGCAACGCCGCGUGAGUGAUGAAGGUCUUCGGAUCGUAAAACUCUGUUAUUAGGGAAGAACAAAUGUGUAAGUAACUGUGCACGUCUUGACGGUACCUAAUCAGAAAGCCACGGCUAACUACGUG
Molecule: ribosomal RNA, 496 nt
Filed under: uncultured bacterium
Lineage: Bacteria
Description: partial 16S ribosomal RNA
Rfam family: Bacterial small subunit ribosomal RNA
Source: RNAcentral